Long non-coding RNA from Xenopus laevis (African clawed frog), 847 nucleotides. RefSeq lists it as uncharacterized. Lineage: Eukaryota; Metazoa; Chordata; Amphibia; Anura; Pipidae. The record is from RefSeq and is a predicted model, not a curated record. The transcript is spliced from 6 exons.
UUGGAUAGCCCCGCCCCUGCCCCAUUAAAAGGACCCUCCCCAAUCCUUUAAAAGCCACGCCAACACCCCUUCUAUGGUGUCUAUUUAUUCCUCCUGGUUUCAGUGAUCUGCUGGAAGCAAUAUUUCUUUUGCUUUUAAACCUUGGGAAAACAUUUCAUGACUGGAAAUGGCACCUGGUCUUCUGAGAUUCUUCCCCCUGCAAAUUACCUAAUAUCCUGGGCUCUUCAGUUUUCUUCUGCUGGAAAAGAUGUUUAACAUGGAUGUAACAGCUGCAUUAACUGGAGAGCAAACGGAUUUGAACCUUGAUAAUCAUCAGACCGGACGUCCGUUCAAAGAAUAAAGUGUUCCAACAAAGAGCCGAGGUCCUUGGCACAAGUGGGUCGGUUGUACUUUCAGGCACUCGGGAAGACCAUCCAAAGAGGCCGUUAAGUUGCAGGCAGAUCCACUAGCCUCAAUGAGAGAAUAAUUGCAGCCCUCAGAAACAGUGAGAAGUUGGAUUAAAGAAUCCAGUCAUCUGUUUUAAAAUUGUUUGAGUAAAGGCUUAAAGAUUUUUUUUUUUUUUUUUUUUGAUCCACUAUUUUUACAAAUUUUUUGUAACGGCCACUGAAUCAAACCCUACUCAAUGAAUAUAUGAUGCCCAACUCCUGCAAGAUAACAGAAUGAAGAGAAACGAAUGAUGACGAACAGCUGCAUUAACAAUGAGGUGUUUGCAAAACAAUGGACAGCAACAAAGAUUUGGACCUUGAUUAGCAUCAGACUGGACAUCCAUUAAAAGAAUAAAGGUCCUUGAAUUAAUUUAAUGUAUGCAUGGACGCAACUCUAUUUAAACCGCCGGCAGCCUGCACAC